CCAGGUAUGUCAAAUGCAAUUAAAGAGUCAAAAAUCUGUUGCGAUGCAGUAAGACCAGUGUUGUGGUGAUGAGAAAUGGAUUGAGACUCAGGAGCAUAAGGAAAAUGAGACUCAUAAAAAAUUACAUUGUGGGACACUAGAAUAUUUUUGCUAUGAAGAUUAUAUAAAAGAUAGCCUUUAACUCCAGGUUUAAAACCAAUCCAUAUAAAUCUGCCUAAUCACACUAUUGUCAUUGCCUCAUUUUCAGGGACUAUUCAUAUAGGUGCUUUACUACUUGUUGAUGUGCUUUUUGUACCUGAAUUCUCUGUUUCUCUCAUUUCAGUUCCUAAACUUGUUUCCAC
RNAcentral lists this long non-coding RNA (341 nucleotides) under Vigna radiata. RNAcentral describes it as "long non-coding RNA (VRAD_LNC007720)". The record is from RNAcentral. Lineage: Eukaryota; Viridiplantae; Streptophyta; Magnoliopsida; Fabales; Fabaceae.